Molecule: ribosomal RNA, 248 nt
Filed under: uncultured bacterium
Lineage: Bacteria
Description: partial 16S ribosomal RNA
Rfam family: Bacterial small subunit ribosomal RNA
Source: RNAcentral
ACCUACGGGGCGCAGCAGUGAGGAAUAUUGGUCAAUGGGCUUACGCCUGAACCAGCCAAGUCGCGUGAGGGAAGACUGCCCUAUGGGUUGUAAACUUCUUUUGUCAAGGGACAAAAUCAGGCUCGAGAGCCUGACCGAGGGUACUUGAAGAAAAAGCAUCGGCUAACUCCGUGCCAGCAGCCGCGGUAAUACGGAGGAUGCGAGCGUUAUCCGGAUUUAUUGGGUUUAAAGGGUGCGUAGGCGGGCUG